This 301-nucleotide ribosomal RNA is filed under the name uncultured bacterium. Its description in RNAcentral is "partial 16S ribosomal RNA". It matches the Rfam family "Bacterial small subunit ribosomal RNA", at positions 510 to 808 of the family's 1533-position model. The record is from RNAcentral.
CGUCGCCACGGUAAUACGGAGGAUCCAAGCGUUAUCCGGAAUCAUUGGGUUUAAAGGGUCCGUAGGCGGUCUUGUAAGUCAGUGGUGAAAGCCCAUCGCUCAACGGUGGAACGGCCAUUGAUACUGCAGGACUUGAAUUAUUGGGAAGUAACUAGAAUAUGUAGUGUAGCGGUGAAAUGCUUAGAGAUUACAUGGAAUACCAAUUGCGAAGGCAGGUUACUACCAAUUGAUUGACGCUGAUGGACGAAAGCGUGGGUAGCGAACAGGAUUAGAUACCCCAGUAGUCCCUGUCUCUUAUACA